RNAcentral lists this long non-coding RNA (414 nucleotides) under Panax ginseng (ginseng). RNAcentral's name for it is "long non-coding RNA (PGIN_LNC000694)". The record is from RNAcentral. Lineage: Eukaryota; Viridiplantae; Streptophyta; Magnoliopsida; Apiales; Araliaceae.
UUAUAACCUUUGUUCGGUUAUUGAAGUCUUAAAAGAAUGUUUAAAUUCUUGAAGUUGUUUGUUCAAAUUCUAAGACUUGCUAAGCAAUUGAAUGCUCACACUUGCUUUAAAUAAAAAUAUUUUCAGCGAACGAUAUUAGAAGAACUUAAGGAUCCCGUAAAGAUCAAGCUGAUCGGUAUCUAGAAGAAGUGACAUUUAUUAUAUGAAUGUGCGUGGAGAUCAAGUGAAGACUUGUAAUAUAGAAUGAUAGAAUUAAACUAUAGAAUAGUUUAAUGAAUGAUUAUGUAUCCUUGGUGGCGGAUAAAAGUCACUCGUGCAAGAUGUAAAGAAUAAUGUAAUUAUCAUUAUUUGUAAUGAAAGAGGUUAUAAGGUAUUAGAACCUGGGAAUUGAGAAUGUAUGUUGUUAUAUUUAGC